AUACUUACCUGGCAGGGGAGAUAUCAUGAUCACGAACGUGGUUUUCCCAGGGCAAGGCUUAUCCAUUGCACUCCGGAUGUGCUGACCCCUGUGAUUUCCCCAUAAAAUUAAAAAAAAAAAAGAAAGAAAAAAAAUUUUAAAAAAGAUAACCCAUAAAUAUUUGCAAAUUAC
Molecule: small nuclear RNA, 171 nt
Organism: Lemur catta (Ring-tailed lemur)
Lineage: Eukaryota; Metazoa; Chordata; Mammalia; Primates; Lemuridae
Product: U1 spliceosomal RNA
Exons: 1
Source: RefSeq, a predicted model, not a curated record